Molecule: long non-coding RNA, 1428 nt
Organism: Lynx canadensis (Canada lynx)
Lineage: Eukaryota; Metazoa; Chordata; Mammalia; Carnivora; Felidae
Exons: 2
Source: RefSeq, a predicted model, not a curated record
CCUGCAGGAAAUAGCCCAGGAGCGAUCAGCCUGUGACACCACGAUGCCCUCCCUCCAAGACUGACCUGCGGCCUCCCGGAGCUCCGGAGGGGGCGCUGGCCGGCGGGCGGGGCUGGCCCAGCAGACCGCGGGGCAGAGGCACGAGCCCACCCUGAGGGUUGCUGGGACGACGGGCACCAGACGGGCCGCCCUCCCCAGCCGGCCUGGGCAUCUGUGAUUCUAGAACACAGCCCGCUCCAUCAGACCGGCCUGCAAAGAUAGCCACGAGGCGCCCUGUACCGACAGUUCGGGGGAGGUGCCGAUAAGGAGGAAGGCCGGAGGGGACCCCGCUGCCCACCGGCCGCGCAGGCAAAGGCGAGGUCGACCCAAGCGGGGAAUCCGGGAGGGGCCUGCCCUACCGCGAAAUAUUGACAGCAGUCAAUACAGACAGCAGGGAGGCCGGGCCUCCGGGCCGGAGGCCCUCUGGACUGAAAUCCUGGUUCUGCCAUUUCAGCCGUGUGACCUGCGGCAAGGGACUUCACGCCUCUGUGCUUCUCUUUCCCUCAGGAACCAGAGGCAACAGUCGCUGUUCGGACGCGAAACAAAAUGAUUUAAUACGUGCACACUUCAAAUGGCGUGUGCCAAAUACACUCACUGCGUGUCAUCACCCCCCCACCUUUUAACUGAUGGGCAGAGGACAUUUGCCAAAGGGCACAAGGCCACCCAGGGGCAGGGCACGGCGUCCCUGAGGCUCUCCGGGUGGCUCUCGCUGAGGGCAGAAGGAGCAAACUAGAGUCUGGGUCCAAGUCCCGGGCGAGGGGAGAGGGCGAGGAAACACCCCAACCUCACGGCCCUGACCACCUCUCCGUCACCCACCGUACCACGAACGCACCGCCGCUCUGGCCCUCGGGGACACUGCCGUGGGAGCGAUAACGCGGCCCCUGCCCCAGCAGACGUCCACGCUCAUGAGGGCAAAAGAGGACACACAAAUAAACACACAGCAUAACGGAGGCUACCUUCGGGGACGUGCGGGGCGAGCUACACAGAUAUCUCAGAGUGAGCCUUCCGGACAGAGAGGAGCGCAAGCCAGAGACUCUGUGGUGGCACCAGGCUCGGCAGGCUCGAGGACAUCCAGGAGAUGUGCAAGGCAGGGUUGUCAGCGAGGGGACGUAUGGUCUGCUGACUGUUUCGUCAGGAUCCCUCUGGCUGUCUACGGAGACCAGAGAGGAGACUACUGCACCAGUCCAAGCAGCGGAUGGAGAAGGCUUUCGUGGUGAUGUUGAGGAGUUGAAACACAGCUAGGUUUUGAAGAUAAAGCCAAUAGCAUCUGCUGAUAGACCAUAUCAGGCAUGACCCAAGAUUCUCAGCUCUGCACUCGGGGAAAUGGAGGCGUCAUUUACCGAGAUGGAAAUACACACGGGGGAAGCCUUCAGCCUCAGCUGGAAAAAU